This 487-nucleotide long non-coding RNA is filed under the name Androctonus crassicauda. The record is from RNAcentral. Lineage: Eukaryota; Metazoa; Arthropoda; Arachnida; Scorpiones; Buthidae.
CUUUAAGAAAAAGAACAAAUUACUGUAUCAUUAAUUAUUAAGACAGAGAAUUUUUGAUUCUAUUUAUUGUCAUAAUUUGCAUAUUAUGUAUCCAAUUAAAAAACUUUGUAAAAAAAUCUUUUCUUGGAUAGAAAGUGUUAUAAUAAAAAUAAUUAAAAAUAUUGGAGAAUAUAAAAGAAAAUUUGAAGUUGAAUUAUAUUUCGUGCUUUUUGCUGUCAUGUUUUAUUGUCGCUUUUCAUGUAUCACCAUCAUUUGUGUAUUAUUUCCAAAUGAUCUUGAAAUACCAGUCAAUAAAAUCCAUCCAUCUGUUUACAAGUGAAACAGGAGAUAUACAGGAAUGCCUCACCUAGUACUGUUAAUUGGUUCCUCUAAAAUACUGCAUUAAAUGAAUCUGCACUGAGUGAAACGUUAUUUCUAUAGGAAAAUAAGUAAUUCAUUUCUAUCAAAUUUUGUUAUAGCAAAAAUAUUUGUAUAUUUACCUAAAAUU